Long non-coding RNA from Anas platyrhynchos (mallard), 817 nucleotides. RefSeq lists it as uncharacterized. The record is from RefSeq and is a predicted model, not a curated record. Lineage: Eukaryota; Metazoa; Chordata; Aves; Anseriformes; Anatidae.
GAGAAGCAAUAUUGGUUGGUCUAUUGCUGGGGGGGGUGUGUAUGGAGUCUGGUUGGGUCCCUCUAUGCUGUCCUGUGGGGCCUAUGCAGGCCCUGUGGGGCCUGGCCCAGCUCUGCUGCAAUGAGGUGUGAGGCUCCCAGGCAGUUUGGUGGUAUUGCAGCAGGAGAGGUCUUGGAGAAGGGGAUGGGGCAGAGCCUGAGCAAAGGGCUCUGAGCUGGGGGAAUUGGGCAGUCGGGAUUUCUAUUCCAGAUGUGUUUUGCCCACGUUCUUUUGAGUGACUGGGACUCUGUGCUGUGCCAGGGUGCUGGAGGACCCCUGCUGCCUGCUGGAGGAGCAGAGGCCUCCAAAUGUGCAUUGCUGUGAGCUGGAAGGUGUGCUGCAUGGAGCUGGAGCUUAGCCAGGUGUUUUGGGGCUGGAGCUGUGCCUGGUGUCCAUUACAUGAACGGAUGGCCACAUUGCAGCUGAUGUUACUGGGGGUGCACAAGGGUGGCAUGGAUUUACUAAUGGAUGGUGGAAGACCUCUGAAAGGCACAGUGAGGAACACCUCCUAACGUGGAUGCUUAAUCUGCUGGGAGGACGGGUGGGCAUGAGGUGUUUUCAGUUCUAAAUUUUAAAAAAUAUUACAUAGAUCAGGGCAGAGACUGUGGUUUAGAGAAGGAAGAGUGAUCUGGGAAGCAGGAUUCACCAGUGCCUCUCCUGGAAAACAGUUUUUAUUUAACUUGAAAAACAUGCCAAUAACAGAAAACAUAACUCAUCUUGUGAAAGUUAUGGUUGGCUGUAAAAUAGAAUACAGAAAACUUUCCUACUCAAGCUGAAA